GCCGGGCGUGGUGGCUCACGCCUGUAAUCCCAGCACUUUGGGAGGUCGAGGUGGGAGGAUCACCUGAGGUCAGGAGUUUGAGACCAGCCUGACCAACAUGGAGAAACCCCAUCUCUC
Molecule: small RNA, 117 nt
Filed under: Pongo abelii (Sumatran orangutan)
Lineage: Eukaryota; Metazoa; Chordata; Mammalia; Primates; Hominidae
Description: Metazoan signal recognition particle RNA (ENSPPYG00000033775.1)
Source: Rfam by way of RNAcentral